Molecule: ribosomal RNA, 395 nt
Filed under: uncultured bacterium
Lineage: Bacteria
Description: partial 16S ribosomal RNA
Rfam family: Bacterial small subunit ribosomal RNA
Source: RNAcentral
CUACGUAGGGUGCAAGCGUUAAUCGGAAUUACUGGGCGUAAAGCGUGCGCAGGCGGUUUUGUAAGACAGUGGUGAAAUCCCCGGGCUCAACCUGGGAACUGCCAUUGUGACUGCAAGGCUGGAGUGCGGCAGAGGGGGAUGGAAUUCCGCGUGUAGCAGUGAAAUGCGUAUAUAUGCGACAAAACACCGAUGGCGAAUGCAAUCCCCUGGUGCUACACUGACGGACAUGCAAGAAAGCGUGGGGAACAAACAGGAUUAUAUACCGUGGUUGUCCACGCCAUAAACGAUGUCAUCUGUGUGUUGGGGAUUUAUUUUCUCAGUAAUGAAGCUAACGCGUGAAGUUGACCGCCUGGGGAGUACGGCCGCAAGGUUAAAACUCAAAUGAAUUGACGGGG